AUUGAACGCUGGCGGAAUGCUUUACACAUGCAAGUCGAACGGCAGCACAGACUUCGGUCUGGUGGCGAGUGGCGAACGGGUGAGUAAUGUAUCGGAACGUGCCCAGUCGUGGGGGAUAACGUAGUGAAAAUUACGCUAAUACCGCAUACGAUCUAUGGAUGAAAGCGGGGGAUCGCAAGACCUCGCGCGAUUGGAGCGGCCGAUAUCAGAUUAGGUAGUUGGUGGGGUAAAGGCCCACCAAGCCAACGAUCUGUAGCUGGUCUGAGAGGACGACCAGCCACACUGGAACUGAGACACGGUCCAGACUCCUACGGGAGGCAGCAGUGGGGAAUUUUGGACAAUGGGCGAAAGCCUGAUCCAGCCAUUCCGCGUGCAGGAUGAAGGCCCUCGGGUUGUAAACUGCUUUUGUACAGAACGAAAAGGUUUCUACUAAUACUAGGAGCUCAUGACGGUACUGUAAGAAUAAGCACCGGCUACUACGUGCCAGCCGCCGCAGUAA
This 499-nucleotide ribosomal RNA is filed under the name uncultured bacterium. Its description in RNAcentral is "partial 16S ribosomal RNA". It matches the Rfam family "Bacterial small subunit ribosomal RNA", at positions 30 to 523 of the family's 1533-position model. The record is from RNAcentral.